Molecule: ribosomal RNA, 253 nt
Filed under: uncultured bacterium
Lineage: Bacteria
Description: partial 16S ribosomal RNA
Rfam family: Bacterial small subunit ribosomal RNA
Source: RNAcentral
UACGUAGGGUGCAAGCGUUAAUCGGAAUUACUGGGCGUAAAGGGCGCGUAGGCGGUACUUCAAGUCAGGCGUGAAAGCCCCGGGCUCAACCUGGGAACCGCGCUUGAGACUGGAGAACUAGAGUUCGGGAGAGGAUGGUGGAAUUCCCAGUGUAGAGGUGAAAUUCGUGGAUAUUGGGAAGAACACCGAUGGCGAAGGCAGCCAUCUGGACCGACACUGACGCUGAGGCGCGAAAGCGUGGGGAGCAAACAGG